Molecule: long non-coding RNA, 210 nt
Organism: Haliotis rubra (blacklip abalone)
Lineage: Eukaryota; Metazoa; Mollusca; Gastropoda; Lepetellida; Haliotidae
Exons: 2
Source: RefSeq, a predicted model, not a curated record
AAGUACAGAACAUGAAGGAGUGGUGACAACUGAUGUACCCAUACAAAAGAGGCCAAGGCACAAGCACAUACCUUGUAUACAGAUGAAGAUCUCCUGUGAUUAUUUCUUUCUCCUCCUCAUCUGAUAACUGAAAAUAUAAGGAUGCCCUGCCACUCAGUCCAAGACCUGACUUGUAAUUUAAGAAAUAAAUGAAGAUCAUCUAAACCAGAA